GAUGAACGCUGGCGGCGUGCUUAAGACAUGCAAGUCGAACGAAGACUCUUUGUAGCAAUACGGAGGGUCUUAGUGGCGAAUGGGUGCGUAACACGUAGGUGACCUACCCUGAAGUGGGGAAUAACAGUUCGAAAGGACUGCUAAUACCUCAUGUGGUCCUGGAGUCUAGAAGCUCCAGGUCUAAAGGCGUAAGCCGCUUCAGGCGGGGCCUGCGUCCCAUCAGUUAGUUGGUAGGGUAAUGGCCUACCAAGACUACGACGGGUAGGGGACCUGAGAGGGUGGCCCCCCACACUGGCACUGACACACGGGCCAGACUCCUACGGGAGGCAG
Molecule: ribosomal RNA, 330 nt
Filed under: uncultured Chloroflexota bacterium
Lineage: Bacteria; Bacillati; Chloroflexota
Description: bacterial SSU rRNA
Rfam family: Bacterial small subunit ribosomal RNA
Source: RNAcentral